RNAcentral lists this ribosomal RNA (253 nucleotides) under uncultured bacterium. RNAcentral's name for it is "partial 16S ribosomal RNA". It matches the Rfam family "Bacterial small subunit ribosomal RNA", at positions 524 to 776 of the family's 1533-position model. The record is from RNAcentral.
GACGUAGGGCGCGAGCGUUGUCCGGAUUUAUUGGGCGUAAAGAGCUCGUAGGCGGUCAGUCGCGUCUGCUGUGAAAACUCGGGGCUUAACUCCGGGCCUGCAGUGGGUACGGGCUGACUAGAGUGCGGUAGGGGAGACUGGAAUUCCUGGUGUAGCGGUGAAAUGCGCAGAUAUCAGGAGGAACACCGGUGGCGAAGGCGGGUCUCUGGGCCGUAACUGACGCUGAGGAGCGAAAGCGUGGGGAGCGAACAGG